RNAcentral lists this long non-coding RNA (790 nucleotides) under Salmo salar (Atlantic salmon). RNAcentral describes it as "lncRNA (ENSSSAG00000121836.1)". Lineage: Eukaryota; Metazoa; Chordata; Actinopteri; Salmoniformes; Salmonidae. The record is from RNAcentral.
GUGUAUUUUGCUUUACUUUAGGUGGCUUUUACACACAGAUUGUACAGCUUCCAGCCUUGCAGGAUUCUGCAGGUCUGCUUACUAAGGAUUCAGCUUGUGUCACAGUGAUACACAGAUACUAAAUAGCUAAACUACUAUCUAUAGUUGUAUUGCAGGACACUUGCCAGAUGUGAUGUUUGUGUUCCUGACUUUUGCCACUCCAGCAGCUCCUGCUGAGGCAUCAGCUCUCUUACUGAGAUGAAUUACCACACGUAGACAAUCUACCUGGGGUUCAUGUAUGUUCUUCCUCUUUGAUGAGAGAGAGGGAGAGGGAGAGGGAGAGAGAGAGAGAGAGAGAGGGGGGAGAGAGAGAGGGACGGGAGAGAGAGGGACGGGAGAGAGAGGGAGGGGAUAGAGAGAGAGAGAGGGAGAGGGAGGGGAGAGAGAGAAGUUCUCAAUUGGUACAAAAUAUAUAGAGUACAGUACACACUACAAUUACUGAGGUUUAAAUAUAUAGAGUACUGCACACAUUACAAUUACUGAGGUUUAAAUAUAUAGAGUACUGUACACACUACAAUUACUGAGGUUUAAAUAUAUAGAGUACUGUACACACUACAAUUACUGAGGUUUAAAUAUAUAGAGUACUGUACACACUACAAUUACUGAGGUUUAAAUAUAUAGAGUACUGUACACACUACAAUUACUGAGGUUUAAAUAUAUAGAGUACUGUACACACAAUUACUGAGGUUUAAAUAUAUAGAGUACUGUACACACUACAAUUACUGAGGUUUAAAUAUAUAGAGUACUGCAC